This is a long non-coding RNA of Passer domesticus (house sparrow), 483 nucleotides long. RefSeq lists it as uncharacterized. The record is from RefSeq and is a predicted model, not a curated record. NCBI's taxonomy places the organism in Eukaryota, Metazoa, Chordata, Aves, Passeriformes, Passeridae. The transcript is spliced from 2 exons.
UUGGGCCCCACAGUGUCACAAUGGCACCGCGGUCCCCAAGGCCCUGCAGGUCACAGUGGAUCCUUGGUUCCAUGAGGUCUGGCAGUGCAGCAAUGCUCUCCUGCGUUCUUACUGUCUUUUAUACCUCCUAUUCUCAGACAAUAGGACACCUAGGAGAUGAAGGGGAGUGGAAGUAGAUAUCCACUCGAGGAGGGAAUAAUAAAAUCCCUCCUCACCCCCACUCCCCAGCCAGGUGACACUUCAGAACAGGUAUGAGCCCCUGGAUCUGGAGAGUCAGCCACAUGAUUUAGAAGAAAAUUAUUUGUCCAUUGACCUUCCCAGUUAUGAUUCAUCUCUAAGAAGGAUUACCACCUCUAACAUCAAAAAGGAAAGAAGGAUAAUCGUGGCUGGCAGUGAUGAGACUGAAAAGGAGAAUGUCAGGACAAUUAAAAGAUGAUGCCGGCAGUUAUAUACAGACACAAACGCAACGGGACCACACCUGAA